GGUCUUCAUUUUCACCCUGGAUGACAACCUCACGGAGGUGCAGGCGCUGGUGGAGCAGGUGAAGGAGAAGACGGCCCACAUCCAGGCCCUGGCGCAUAGCACCGUGGGGCAGACCCUGCCGACCCCUCUGAGGAAGCUCUUCCCUCCAUCAUCCGCAUCACGUGGCCACUGCUUUUCUUCGAAUAGGAAGGGAACUUCAUCCAGAGAGAGAACACGAGUGUGGGGGAUGGGCAGAAGGCGAGCGAGAGAAUCUCAAGGAGACUCAGCCCUGAGUGUGGAACCCAACGUGGGGUUUGAUCUCAUGAUUCUGAGAUCACGACCUGAGCUGAGACAGAGAGUCGGACACUUCGCUGACUGAGCCACCCAGGCACCUCUCUUCGGCUCAUUUCUAAUUGGAUUACUUGGUUUUUGGGGUGUUGAAUUGUGUAAUUUCUCUCUCUCUAUUGGAUACUAACCCUUUAUCGGAUAUGUCAUUAGCAAAUAUCUUCUCCCACUCAGUAAGUUGUUGUUUGGUUUUGUUGGUUGCUUCCUGUGCUGUGCAGAAGCUUUUAGUUUUGGUGUAGUCCUAACAGUUUAUUUCUGCUUUGCUUUCCCUUGCCUCAGGAGACAUAUCUAGAAAUAUGUUGCUGUGGCCAAUGUCAGAGAACUUACUCCCUGUGCUCUCUUCCAGGAUUUUUAUGGUUUCCGGUCGCACAUAGAGGUCCUUUACCUGUUUUGAGUUUAUUUUUGUGUACGUUGUAAGAAAAUGGUCCAACUCAUCCUUUUGCAUUUAGCAAGUCAGUGUUCUCAACACCAUUUGUUGAAGAGACUUUUUCCCAUCACAUAUUUCCUCCUUUGUCAAAGAUUAAUUGACCAUAUCAUCAUGGGUUUAUUUCUGACUUUCUAUUCUGUUCCAUUGAUCUGUGUGCCUGUUUUUGUGCCAGUACCAUACUAUUUUGCUUGUUAAAGCUUUGUAGUAGUAUACCUUGGAAUCUGGGAUUGUGACCCCUCCAGAUGUGUUUUUUUCCUCCCCUAUGAUUGUUUUGGCAGUUUGGGAUCUUUUGUAGUUCUGUACAAAUUUUAUGAUUGUUCUAGUUGCGUGAAAAAUGUUCCCUGACAUUUAGUAAGUGCUCCCUGGGUGUCUGUGAAAUGAAUACAUGACUUUUCAAUUUUAACCCUGGGUGACUGACAAGAUGAUGGCAUUUUGAACAACAUAGGAAACAUUAGGCAGAAGUUGUGUGGUAGGAGGCUGAAAAUGAACUCUACCAUUUGAAGUGCUUGUAAAAUCUAUGCAGAGAUGUUCACCUUGCCGCUCAAAUUAAUUGUCUAGACCUGUGCUACCCAGUCCGGUAUCCACUGGCCACGUGGCGCCAUUCAAAUUUAAAUUAACCAAAAUUACAUACAAUUUAAAAUUCAGUUCCUUACUCGCACUGUGGACGUUUCAAGUAUCACAUGUGGCUAGAGGCUAUCACAUUGGACAGAGCAGAUCUUGGAUAUUUCAUCAUCAUAGAAAAUUCUAUUGGACCGCAUUAGCCUAUACUCUAGAUCUUGGAGGUAGAUCUAGUUAUCAACAUAUUUGGCCACAAAGUUCCUUUCAGUGUUUUUUCUUCUCAUAAACAUCUCUCAAACACAGCAAUCCCACUUGAGUAUUACUGUCCUCACUAGGACUUCAUCUAUUUAUGGUAUGCUGGCUGGUCUCCUACCAACUUUUUCCAGCCUAGAGCAUAGAACAUAGCCCUGGCUUUAUGGAAGAGAAACCACACGCACAGAGCUUCCCACGGCUGACUGUGUCACUCGCCAAAACUGACUGAACCAACAAACAAAAUCUCUCAGCACCCCACCACCUGCAGCAGCUUUUCCCAGCCUGUUUGGACCCUGAAAACUUUCGUUGUCAAAAUUUGUCAACCCCUUGGGAAUUUAUACAUCGCUUUAUCUCUUUUUCAUAAUACAUGAUAAGUGACAUUAGGUAUAUAAUAUUUUCAUUUUAAAGCAGCAUGUUUUUUAAAGUUGGAAAGUUCAUUUUAACAUCUUUAAGAGGAAAAGACGAAUGCCCACUUUCCCCCAUGUAACAGGUGAGGCAUGAAAGUUCAUUGACUUUAACAGGUGUGCAUUGUUCCAGAACACUUAGAUAUAAGAAAGGGCAAAUAUAGUUCCUUGUCUACAUUGAGUAUAAUCUGCUUUAAGCCUCCUAUGACCUAGGUUGGCUAAAAAGCCCAGGGUCCGUUUUUCCUCCCCCAACCUUUGUACUGUAUGGGAGUUCUGGAGCUUUGGCAGUUUAUCCCAAAUGGUGGAAGGUCAUGUCCUUUUUUAAAAAACAAAGAUUUUAUUUUUAUUUAUUUGGGGAGAGCGUGUGCGCAAGCAGUGAGGAGGGGCAGUGAGGGGGGGAGAGAGAGAGAGAGAGACCUCAAGUCGGUUUCCCACUGAGCAUGGAGCCCAAUGUGGGGCUUGAUCCCAUGACUCUCAGAUCAGGACACGAGCCCAAAUCAAGAGACACUCAACCAACUGACCCACCCAAGUGCCCAGAUGGUUAGGUUCUUAAACCAUGGGAGUAACUGUUGCUUUUCAUCUUGGGCAUCUGAAGGCAAAAAUGGUGGCUCAAGGGCACCUGGGUAGCUCAGUGGGUUAAAGCCUCUGCCUUUGGCUCAGGUCAUGAUCUCAGGGUCCUGGGAUCGAACCUUGCAUCGGGCUGUCUGCUCAGCAGUGAGCCUGCUCCCCACCCCCCUGACCCCCGCGUGCCUCUCUGCCUACUUGUGAUCUCUUUCUGUCAAAUAAAUAAAAAAAUAAAUCUUUUAAAAAAGUGCAUAAUGAAUCUUCGUGAUUCCAUAACCCACAUUGUUUUGACAAGGCAAAUGUCGGGUAACAUAAUUUCAUUCCUAAUUAAAUGCGUGUUUCUAAAAGGAUAAGACUCUUUUAAGAGAAAAUACUUAAUCACAGUAUCAUUAUAUGCCUAAAAAUUUAACAAUCAUCUUUGAGUACCAUCAAAUAUCCAUCAGUAUUCAAAUACCAAAUGUAUCAUAAAUGAUAAAAAUCAUUUUUGACAGUCUGUUUGACUCAAGAUCUAAAUAAGGUUCACAUAUUGAGAUUGGUUGGUGUGUUUAAUUUCCUUAUAAUUUGUAGAUUCCCUACCUCCAUAUCUUUCUUUUAUUCUUUCCAUUUAUAUGUUAAGGAAUUGGAUCAUUUGUCCUCUAGGGUUUUG
Mustela lutreola (European mink) is the source of this 3175-nucleotide long non-coding RNA. RefSeq lists it as uncharacterized. Lineage: Eukaryota; Metazoa; Chordata; Mammalia; Carnivora; Mustelidae. The record is from RefSeq and is a predicted model, not a curated record. The transcript has 4 exons.